GUGAGUGAGUGGGUGCAGGCGUGAAGAAAAGCUGACGCCUGACGGCGUGCAUCAACAUCAUCAAAGCUCCACAUUUUCCCUCUUCUAAUUAUUCACUUAUAGCUUCUUUACUAUUUUAGAUUUUCUCAUUUCAUUUAUAUCUAUCUUAAACCUUUUUCACAUUAACACUUAAUUAAGAAACCAACCCAUAUGUCAUGUUCUAUUCCCUUAUAUAUAUAAACAACAAGGUGUAAUCAUUAUCUCAGACAUCUGGUAUUCUGGUGCAUG
This 267-nucleotide long non-coding RNA is filed under the name Brassica napus (rape). RNAcentral describes it as "long non-coding RNA (BNAP_LNC014352)". Lineage: Eukaryota; Viridiplantae; Streptophyta; Magnoliopsida; Brassicales; Brassicaceae. The record is from RNAcentral.